Molecule: ribosomal RNA, 320 nt
Filed under: uncultured eukaryote
Lineage: Eukaryota
Description: partial 18S ribosomal RNA
Rfam family: Eukaryotic small subunit ribosomal RNA
Source: RNAcentral
CCCCUAGAUGUUCUGGGCCGCACGCGCGCUACACUGAACAGUUCAACAAGUCUUAACCUUGGCCGAUAGGUCUGGGUAAUCUUUGAACGCUGUUCGUGAUUGGGAUAGACCUUUGCAAUUAUGGGUCUUCAACGAGGAAUUCCUAGUAAACGCAAGUCAUCAGCUUGCAUUGAUUACGUCCCUGCCCUUUGUACACACCGCCCGUCGCACCUACCGAUUGAAUGGUCCGGUGAAAUCUCGGGACGGCGGCUUGGUCGCUUGCGUCUGACUGCUGAAACUUGAUUAAACCAUAUCAUUUAGAGGAAGGUGAAGUCGUANCA